Molecule: long non-coding RNA, 895 nt
Filed under: Equus asinus (donkey)
Lineage: Eukaryota; Metazoa; Chordata; Mammalia; Perissodactyla; Equidae
Description: lncRNA (ENSEASG00005037664.1)
Source: RNAcentral
GGCUGCCCCCAGGAGGCUGUGGCUUGCACCCAACCACCACUGCCAUCCACAGGUUGCAAAGACCACACUCCUGGGGAAAGACAUCCAACCACACACUUCCUCCAACCUUAGCAUCCCUUCUGCACUCUGCUCAAAUGAUUUUCCGGAGGAUGACCCUUGAGUAGGGGUCAGGAGGAAGCUAAGAGUGAAGACAAUGUCCUCACGGCAGCCCUUGGCUUCCAGCUCCCCUUGGCUUCCCUUCUCUUCACUUGGUGAAACCCAACACGCAGACAUCCCUCACCAACACUUCUAGACUCCAUUUCAAACAUGGACUCUGCCCACACUGGUUCUAAAUGACUUACUUUGGCCUCACCUUCUCUUUUUUCUCCACCCUGUCAAACAAGAAAGCAGAUACCUAGGAAUUUGCGGGAAGUCUGCUGAAUGUAAGAUUUCUGCACAUCCCUCUUCUGGACUCUCUCUGGACUCUUCGAGGGUGAGCCCCCUGUCUGAUGCAUCUUUGUAACUCCCCCAUCACCUUAGCACCAUGCUUGGCACACGGCAGGUGUUCAAUGAAUGUUUGUUGAAUGGCUAUACGUUUGAACGGUUUGAAGUCUCUAGAAAUAGAAGUGGCUCUUCAGACUACCCGACCUGAAUCCAUCCAGAAAAGACCAACCAAAUCCAACUAUUACGCACAACUCUGCCAGAUUCGUUUCAUCGCUUAAAACCUGAUAACGGUGGGCCACACAAAGUCUUACUGGGAAAUAGAACAGCGCGCUCUCAUAGGGCGAUUGUGAGGACUCGAUUAGUCAGCGCAUUGGAAGGACCCAGAAGAGUGUUGUGCACUUGCAGAAAUACUCCAUGUAAUAACUACGGCAGAAGGAAUCAAAACACUUACUACCUGGGGGGUCCGGCUCCA